AGUGAACGCUGGCGGUAGGCCUAACACAUGCAAGUCGAACGGCAGCACAGUAAGAGCUUGCUCUUACGGGUGGCGAGUGGCGGACGAGUGAGGAAUACAUCGGAAUCUACUUUUUCGUGGGGGAUAACGUAGGGAAACUUACGCUAAUACCGCAUACGACCUACGGGUGAAAGCAGGGGAUCUUCGGACCUUGCGCGAUUGAAUGAGCCGAUGUCGGAUUAGCUAGUUGGCGGGGUAAAGGCCCACCAAGGCGACGGUCCGUAGCUGGUCUGAGAGGAUGAUCAGCCACACUGGAACUGAGACGCGGUCCAGACUCCUACGGGAGGCAGCAGUGGGGAAUAUUGGACAAUGGGCGCAAGCCUGAUCCAGCCAUACCGCGUGGGUGAAGAAGGCCUUCGGGUUGUAAAGCCCUUUUGUUGGGAAAGAAAAGCAGCAGGUUAAUACCCCGCUGUUCUGACGGUACCCAAAGAAUAAGCACCGGCUAACUUCGUG
RNAcentral lists this ribosomal RNA (492 nucleotides) under uncultured bacterium. Its description in RNAcentral is "partial 16S ribosomal RNA". It matches the Rfam family "Bacterial small subunit ribosomal RNA", at positions 29 to 507 of the family's 1533-position model. The record is from RNAcentral.